AGUGAACGCUGGCGGCGUGCUUAAUACAUGCAAGUCGAAGGUAGUGGCGCACGGGAGUGUAAUAUAUAGCUAAUCUGCCCCUUGCUGGGGGAAAACUGUUAGAAAUGAUUGCUAAUACUCCAUAGCAAGGGGGGAGACUAUAUCGUAUCAGCUAGUCGGGGUGGUAACGGCCCACCGAGGCGAUGACGCGUAACUGGUCUGAGAGGAUGGUCAAUAACGUUCGAACUGAGACACGGUCCAAACUCCGACGGGAGGCAGCAGUAGGGUAUAUUGCGCAACGGGGGAAAGCCUGACGCAGCAACGCCGCGUGAAGGAUGACACUGUGCGGAGAAUAAACUCCUUUUGUUAGGGAAGCGGUACCUAACGAAUAAGCACCGGCUAACUCCGUGCCAGCAGCCGCGGUAAUUC
This 408-nucleotide ribosomal RNA is filed under the name uncultured bacterium. RNAcentral describes it as "partial 16S ribosomal RNA". It matches the Rfam family "Bacterial small subunit ribosomal RNA", at positions 29 to 526 of the family's 1533-position model. The record is from RNAcentral.